Molecule: long non-coding RNA, 1860 nt
Organism: Clupea harengus (Atlantic herring)
Lineage: Eukaryota; Metazoa; Chordata; Actinopteri; Clupeiformes; Clupeidae
Source: RefSeq, a predicted model, not a curated record
CUGGUUAACUACUUCUGUUUAUCGAGUGGAUGCACGACACAGGGCCAAUGAAGGGACAGUGGAGCCUGUAUGGAAGAGGGAGACCCCGGACCAUAAUCUGCUAGGGCCCUUCCGUGGCCCUUCACACUGCUUGGGAGAAACAGCCAUUGACCAGAGGGGGGCCUCCACACCAGCAUCGAAGCCACCCAUCAAAGAUAAGCCGUCCAUAGCCCAACAAAUUCCUGUGCUGCCACCCUUGACAGAGACCAGGCCCACGAGAGAAAAGACAAACCAUUGCAUCAAUGCCAGCCAUUUUGGGGAAGCCAGCACGCCGUUGCUGCCAAUGAAUACACCGUCAGUGGAGGAGCAGCCGCCAGCGAGACCAGCGAGUGGGAGCUCAUGGACACCAAGCAGCUUUGGCAAGACCAGGCACAAGAUCCUGUCCUUUCCCUGGUCCCGUCCUGGGUGGGGAUGGGUCAGCAACCGCCCUGGACUGCCUUCUUAGCUCUGGAUCUCAAAACCAAAGCUCUCCAUUCCCAGUGGCCCAUGCAGAAAAAGCUGCUGUAUCAACGUUGGCAGGGUCCUGAGGGUCUAACCCCCUGGCUAAACCCCGCAAGCGUCUACUCACAGUAACCGCGUCAACUCCCGGCAUACCUUAGAAACUUAAUGUUGCAGGUGUGGGUCAAGGGGACUGACAAUCCACCUGAUGGGGGCUAUGUGAGGUGUAGCGGGAGUGAUGUGUGAAUAACUGUGUACUUCCUUGUUGUGUUAAUUAUGUGGUGUCUCCCAGUGUUCCAUGUGCGAAUGUUGAUGUCUUCAGAAUUCUAAAUUAGAGUUAUUGGUGUUAUCCCUUUCUGUGGAUGUCUACAUGCAUUUUUAGUUAGCACUUAAGAGUCAGUGUGUUGUGUAUAUGCCCUAGUAUGAUUUCCCUGGUGUUCCAGCACAGCUGCCUACCCUGAGCCUGUAAGAUGUGUCUGCUUGUGUAAGCCUACUUCAUUUGCCACUCUGUAUCUAGGCUUGUGCCUUUUGUUCUGCAAUUGCCUUAACCCUGACAUGAUUGAUGAGAAAAGGCUAUUGAAUUCAUUAAUCUCAGCAUUGUGCUUAAAAGUGAAGAAAGUCAACCCCUUAUACCUCAUGCAUGUAAUCAAUGUAUGCAAGGACAACAACAUUUGACAAUAGUAGAAACGCUGUUAAAAUAUGGCUUAUAUAGUUUUUAUUUAUCAAAAUGCUCUAACUGGUUUAUUUUUCAACAAAUACCAUUGCAAAAUAUCUCAGAAGAGAACAGGAUAUGAAAAUAUAUGGUGCUAAGGUAAACAAGAUAGGGAUAGUAUUGAGAAUUCAAUACAAGGUCGCCUAAAGGUAGCUGCAAUCUUGCAGUAACAAAAACAAUGUAAAGCUAAUAGCAGCAAAUUCCUACUAGGCACUACCUCUCAAUGUAAUUUCCCACUCAUUGCAAAUACUUUCAAUAAACCCCUUAGUGUCUUGGUAAAAUUUCAGUCAGAUUUAAAAUGUAUGCUACAGUUUUCAGUCAUUCCAAAUGUCCCCCCUUAAUGAUACUGAUACACAGCAGAAAAGGACAGAUUCACAAAGACAGUACCGAAUGGUGUCAUAUCUGAAAUCAUCACUGUAGAAAAUUUAAUCUCAGAAAAGAUGACAAAUUAGUGUAAUUAUAUGGACACCAUGACCAUCUAUGUGUCAAGAUCAAGAUGACUUUUUACGCUUGAGUCACAUAAAAUUUGAAUACAAUUUAAGAGCUCCCAGUCAUGUCUGGCUCCAAUAUCAGUAUCAAUAUCAUAUCAGUGUUUUAUAGAUGUAAUAUAUGAAAGACCAAUAGAAAAUAUAUCAACAAACAGAAUAGAAAACAUAAUAGAAGUGUAAAAA